This 343-nucleotide long non-coding RNA is filed under the name Gallus gallus (chicken). RNAcentral's name for it is "long non-coding RNA NONGGAT006515". The record is from RNAcentral. Lineage: Eukaryota; Metazoa; Chordata; Aves; Galliformes; Phasianidae.
GUCCAACUCCCCUGCAAUGAACAGGGACACCACAGCUAGAUCAGGCUGCCCAGGGCCUGAUCCAGCCUCACCUUGAAAGUCUCCAGGGACACAGCAUCAACCACAACACUAGAACAGCUGAAGGCAGAGCAUGCAGAGGUGCUUUGUUUUAUAACCACACCAAUUGCUCAGGAACAAGAGAUCAGCCUGCAUUGGACUGAACUGGAUGGAUUAUGCUUCAUGCCAAGUAAAAAGGCUCCCAGACAGAUACUCUUCGAGAAUUGCUGGUAGAAAGAUUCUUACAAAACUACAUUCCACAUCAAAUGUAAGAAUAUGUUUUACUUUUUCUUCAAGAAGUGACAGC